UUAUUAACACAUCAUUGCUCAGGCACAGGUCGAGCUCGUCAGGGGAGAGGAAGAUGAUGUCCUCGAUGUUGCUGGCAGUGAUGGGCUUGGACUGACAGCCUGAGGGCAAGAAAUUGUGUCAGGCAGAGGGAGCGUCGUCUGCUCCUGCAGCAUCCUGCCCUGUGGACUGUCCCAUUGUCCCAGCUCCUUCCUGACUGCUGCCACCACAUCCCUGCUCCCAGGUAAGAGCAACCCCCACCUUGUGCUUCAAGGACAUUUCCCCACUCCCCCAGUUUGUGGGAAUCCCAGACUUCUGCCUGGUCCAGCCGGGAGCUCCCAGACCCUCCCAGCCCUGGGCAUUGUCCCCUCCCAGAGCUCUGGCCUGGCCGGAGGGAAGGGAAGCACUCACGGUCCGCGCUGCGCUGCAGCCGGGGCUGGGAGGCAGCCGAGGCUGCUGCGAGCGCCCUGAGGAGGAUCAGGGAUUGCUCCCGCUGGGAACGUCCCUGGCUGAGGUAGGCGGCAGCGAUGCUCCUCCUGAAAUCCUCCCGUGCUGCCUGCGGGGACACAGGGCGCUGGGACCGGGGGGACAGGGACACAGGGUGCUAGGACCGGGCAGCACAGGAUCCUGGGCCCACCAACCUCGGAGCUGACCUGCCUGAUGGUCCUCUCCCCCCGAGGAGGGACCUUACCUCGGCCACCAAACUCAGCGUGGUCUGGUUCAACGCCAGCACGAGCGGCCCCAAAUCCUGCAGAGUCUGUAAAUCCCAGCUUGAAGGAUCCCUGCGGCAGCAGGAGCAGGACCAGCUCAGCAUGCCCGUGGAUUCCCACCCCUCCUGUCUGCCGCCCACCCUUCCAGGAGGGGAAGGCUCCUCACCCGUACGCUGUGUCCCCCGAGAGGAGCAGGGCAUUGAGGGCGUCCUGCUGUGCCUCCGUCAGCGCCGGGCAGAGCUUCAGCUUCUCCAGGAUGUUGGGAUCCGAGGCCGGGACAGUGCCCGGCUCCAGGUCACACACCAGCGCCCCGAGGCUGUACACGUGGGGUGUCAUGAAAAUGUCCCCUAAAAUCAGUGCCGGGGUGCUGCCAUCCCCACGGCCGGGUGGGUGCCCCCAUAUCCCGGGGUUUGGGUGAGGGACAAAACAGCAGCGCCCGGGUUUCAGCCGGGGCGAGGCUCCCGCUGCAGCCGCGUGGAGGAAGGAGAAUUCUCGGUGUGUUUUUGUUUCUGCAGGAGCCCAGCCCGCUGGAAUCCCAGCACGGAACCGGCUGCACAGGGCUGUAAAUCCUCCCUGCCCAGUGACCCGGCGCAGCAGCAGAUGUGGCAUAAACAAAAAUUCACCCCGCGGGACCCCCCGGGACCCCCCAGAGCCCCCGCCGGGGCUGAUACUUACUGGGGAUGCUCAGCGUUGGACAGGACGGCUCCAACAAUCAGGGCAGCCUGGGGAGAUGAUGGGGGAUGCUCAGCCCCGGUAAGGAAAGGGAAGAAGGGAUCUGAGAUGCAGGGAAUGGGAUCUGACCCAGCUGGAGCCCCCAGACUGCUGCCCGUGGGAGCAGCCAGGAGCUGCAGCAGCCCCUGGGUGACUUGUGGGGACAAAAGCCAUCAAAGCCACUCUCAGCAGGGGGACACUCGGGUGGGUGCUUGCCUGGAGCUGGGUUUGGGAGCAGGGCACGCAGGGGAGGGAUGGGACAAGGACAGGGCCACGCUGUGCACAGGGGGACAGCAGGGAGGUGGUGGCUGUGCCGCCCUGCAGCUGAGCACUGCGGGAAUGGUGGCACCUCCAGCGCCAGCUGGGGAAUUUUGGGAAUGCCCUGGCACGGUGGGAGCCAGCAGAGCCGGCAGGGACUCACCGCUGUGGCUUUCACCGGGUCUGUGGAGAUACCUGCAAGGAAGCAGGAGCAGGUUAGGAAACAUCCCUGGAUUAUGAACGGCUCGUCGGGGUUGCUCCAAGCAGCUCCAGGUUUGGAGUCUGGGAAGAGCCUUUCCUUUGCUAAUUUCAUGUUUAGGAAAUGCUGUGGAUCACUAUGAAGGGAGCAGCCCCCAGCCCGAGCACCCCCAGUUCCCCACAGGAGGGUGUGGAAGACAAAAAGGGGAUAAACCCAUCCCUGGAAAUCCGGGAAGAUGUGUCCCUGGGAAAAGCCUGCAGAUGUUGAGGGGAGCAGGAGGCAGAGCCCUGGGAGGGCUGAACCGAGUGGGACUGGGAUGAGGAGCAGCACAGCUGGAGCAUCCCUGGUGCCUGGGGGUGCCUGGGGGCCCGGGGCAGGUUUUGGGGACAGGAUGUGACUCACGGAGGCAGAGGGUGACGGCUGCCAGGGCUGGGGCUGCCCACACCAUGGUGCUGCUGCCAGGGGCUCGUCCUUGGAGCGGAUCCGGAGAGCCGUGUCCCACACUUGGAAUUGCUGGAGGUCCUGGGGCUAAUUCUGUCACCCAGCACUGGGGCUGGAGCUGUGGGGUCAGGGGUCUCACUGUGCCCACCCCGUCUCUGUGAUGCUGCACAGAUGCCCAGCGACCACAGGUGAGAUUUUAAAUCCCACUUAACAGAAAACAGGAUUUUUCCCACCCAUUAUAAAAGAAACUCCACAACUGUCCUGCAGGGACAGGGUCCCCCUCCAUGCCCCAGCUCCUCACCAGCACAGACUGGGAGAAAUCCAGUGUAAGGCAGUGGGGGAGCCCAGCAGGUGUUCCCCACCCCUCCACACCCCUCAGGAGGAUCUCCUGACAGAAAACCAAUCCCUGCUCCUAAAAUUCCCUCGGGGCUGCCCAAAGCAAUCCGUUAUCGCCGUCUGAACUCGAUGCAAGGAAUUUCCCCCCCUAAAUAUCAAUUUUCCCCCCCAAAAUCUCAUUUCCCCACUCCCAACCCUACCGUGGCUGUGUCGAACCGUUCUCUGCCCCCUUGUGCAGGGGGAUUUGGCUCCGGGAUGGGAGGAUUCGGCCGGGAAGGUGCUCGCGGGGCUGGGGCAGGGGCUGGGCAGCGCUCGGCACUUUAUCUGUGCGGGGUGGGGAUGUUGCUCCGCACACGGGGUGUGACGGGGCAGUUUCUCAACUCUGUUUUGUCAGGCUCCUUUCCUUCUCCCUGGGUAUGCUUUGGGGCUGUUUCCUACUUCUCAUAAAGGGUCACUGAGAUCUGGGUUCAGCUGAACCGAAAGUGAACCCAGAAGGAGUUAAAGCCUCUGGUUUGGGAGUUUCUGUGCUCCUGAGGGGGAUUCAGGUGCUCCUGGUGAGGGGAAAACCUGUAGAGCUGCUCAGGGGUUAUUUUAUAGGGCAGGCAGGGUACAGAACAGAGUGAGCUCAGUGAUGGGCUCCGCAUCCUCUGGGAGAUGUCUCCCCUCUCCUUUUCGCCUGGAUCACAGUCAAUCCCGUUCCCUUUUUUUCAGCUUUACCCCCCGAUCAUGCUCCAAAAUGCUGUCGAGCACGUGUCAUGAAGGGAACCAAGACCAAAGGAAUCAAAUCCUUCCCGGGGCUCUGAGAUGACAACCUGGAGGAGCUGUGAGCACAAACUUUAUGUGAGCGUUUAUCCCGGGAAAAGGGAAGGGUGGCUGGGCUGGAGCAGGGCUGCACCCCCCUCUCAGCCAGGUUUGGGGGCCCCAGCCCUCCCCAAGGGUCCCUGGAGCUGCUGGCCGUGUCAAGAGGGGUUUGUCACCCCCUGCCCUGUCCUGUCCCCAGCCCCGUCCCCCAACCGGUCCUGCAGCCCCAGGGCUGGGUCGACGCCCAUGGGUGUUGCUGGUUUCUAUUUUGGAAGGAUUUACUGUGAAAAUAGCUCCUGUUGGGGCAGUAAAAUUACAGAAUGCUAUGAGGCUGCUGGAGUGACACAGCCCCUGCCUCAGGCUGGCUGGACAGAGGUGGCUGGAGCAGGAGGACAGGGACACAUCAGGGCCACUCGGGGGGUCACUGUGUCCGCUGUGUCCCUGUGGAGAUCAAAGCUGGCCCUGAAACCCCCUCGGGAGCUGCCACUGGAGGAUCCACCCUGAACUUGAACAUGUGGAGGAACAUCUGCCCCAGGCUGUUCGUGGGGACAUUCCCAGGUCUGCCGGGUCGGAGCCCCGGGGCCGCUCCCGCGGGGCCGGUCCGGCCUCAUUCCCCUCAUUCCUGGAAGCCCCCGAGAAAUGGAUGCAGAGAGCGGACAGUGAAGGGCAGAGACACGUUUAAUACAGCAAAUACACCAAAACUGGAACUGCGGAGUGCACGGGACAUCACGGCCACAGCACAACCCCAGGGCACCGGAGGAGGCACAGCCCCGCGGGCAGGAGGGGACAGGACGGGGACACGGCCCUGGAACGCAGCCGGGAAGGGCGCCUGGAAAACUCCCUCUCCAGGGUAAGGAAAAAUCUAUUUUAUCUCUGGCACUGGGGAGAAGCAGCACGCAAAGGCUGGGCUGGGGUGUGGGGGCUCCUCCACACAAACACGGUGGGCUCGGGGUGCCAGCCCCAUCCAUGUCCCCACGUCCCCACCCCUCAUCCCGGCCGUGUUCCCGGCAGGGCCCGCUCCCAGCACGGACAAGGCUGGGUCCCCCUGUGACAGGCGAAUCCCCGCUGCCACUUUCCAGCACCUCCCCUGAGCGUCACCCCUCGAAUCUUUGGCAAACAAAUUCCUUGUGUUCCUUCCCAGCUGCGGGACCCCUCCCGGCCACCAGGCCUGGCAGGAAGGACAAGGGGCUCCUGCUCCUCCUGUCCCCCCGAGCCCCCUGGCAGCAGCCCUGAGCCCACCGUGCCCGCUCAGUGCCCAGGGCUGGCAUCUCAGGCCAUCCCCACCCUGCAGUGGUGGCACCAAGCCACAACAGAAAGGGACAGGUGAUCCAGUUCUCCCCCCGGGGAUUUUGGUGAUUUACAGGGUGUGUUUAUGCACAAGGAAGGGUUUUGAUUUUUUUAUUCCCCCUCAGGGUGGGAAUAUCAGCUGUGUGAACCCCAUCAGGUGUGCUUUACACGGGAUGGGGUUGGAGAGGUGACAACAACUCUGGGCAUGUGCUGACAUGGUCCUUGAAAGCCCUGGGAUGGGGCUGUGUGGCUCCCCAGCUGUCCUGUUCUCCUCACUUCCAAAUGUCCCCCGAGGGCUGCAGAGGAUGAGCAGGGAAGGGGAAAGCAAAGCAGGAUGACCAGCAAAGCAAGGGCACUUCCAAGGAAAUUUCUUGGCAUCUGUCAAAGCUGAGCUCCUGCCUGCUCUUCCCAUCAGUUCUCAGCCUUUCUUUCACCUUUGUGCUUUUCCAACUGUUCCAGAGCUUCCCCAAACUGCCCAGCUGAAGGACCUGGAAACCUGCCAGGCAGGAGCCACCCCCUGGAACCUACACAGGACACUGAUCCCUCCUCAGGUGGGUGAGCAGAAAGUGACUUGUGCCCUCUGACCUGUCUCAGCAGUGAUAAAAGCAGGAAAGGCAGUGCUAGUAGAAGGAAUAAUAAAAUCCAUUUAAAAAGCUUUGGGCUGCUGGCUCUCUGACCACAGAAGUACUAAAAAUACCUCAUUCCUGAGACCACCCGUAUUUUACAAACCCUAAAAGACUAGAUUCUCUUCCUAGAAAAUUGAAAAAAGUUUAAAAUCCAUUGGUAUCAACCCCUUCACCUUCACCAAACCUUUAAAAACUGCCCAAGUGGGCUGAGGGAAGGAGGGGGUGAGGGGCAGGGACCUUUCCAUGCCCAUCCCAGUCCAGUUUCACAGGACACCCUGGGACUGGGGGACUAUCAGUGUCCCCAGAAUGUGCUCCAGCUCCCAAUCAUGGCACAGCAGCUGGAGUGAGGGAAUGGGAAUGGGGGACAGGGACACUGGAGCUGCACCCAGCACAUUCUCCCUUCCUGUGCCAGGCUGCAAUUCUGCAUCCAAGCAUGGAGAGGCUGUGGGGGAUGUCCAUGGCAAAAGCAGUGCCCAGCUGUGCCCGAGCCCCAGGACAGGGAUGGAAAGCUUUGGGGUCACUCUAAGCUGGAGUGUGACACUGACUCUGCUGCUGAGGCCCAGGAUUGGGAAAGGGACAUCCCGUGACCAGAUGGAUGAUGGGCAUCACAAAAUAACCCCACCCCAACCGCUCCUAAAAUCCACCUGAUGCCAGCCCCAGGAACGAGGGAAGCCACAGAGGGAGUGCAGGUGUGGAGGCGGCGCUGGGCUCCGUGGGGACAAGGCUGGAGCUGGAAAUGCAGGGAUGUGCUUUGUGCUCACUCCAGAGCCCACUCAGCCAGCCACUGCUCGCAGCGCGCCCGCUGCUCCUCCGUCUCCUCCCUGCUGCCUUCACCCCCUGCUCCCUCCUCUCUGGCAGCUUCCCGGCUCUCCUCCUCCUCCUCCUUGUGUGUCCCCUUGUCCUUGAGCUCCUGGAUGACGUCCUCCAGCCGCUGGGUGACGUGCUGGGGCACCCAGUUGCUGUCCAUGGCAGUGACGAAGGGGUCGGGCGCGCACACCUCGAUCAGCUCCUUGCCGGUGGGAAUGCGCAGGUAGUAGGCGUGGAGCAUCAUCCUGUAGGGAUUGCUGUCCUGCCUGUGGCUGUAGGUGAAGUCCCCCACGAUGGGGUGGCCGAUGGCGCUGCAGUGAACCCGGAGCUGGUGAGUCCUCCCUGGGGGGAGAGUGGGAAUCAGGGACAGGGAAUUCCUGAAUGCCUCCUUCAGGGCAUGGUGACAAUACACCUAAUGGCAUUUGUCCUCCUGAGCACGGCAGGUCUCAGUUCCCUCAUCCCUUUCCAGGCUCUGCUGCAUGUCAGAGCUGCCCCUGUCCCCACCUGUCAGUGGCUGCAGCAGCACUUUGGUGACGGGGUCUCCGCUGUAGGAUCCAUGUUCCAGCACCAUCAGCUCCGACUGGCACGGCUUGGGAUUCUCACAGCCUGCAAGGAGAUCCAGAGGGGCUGAACACCCCCAACUUCCUCAGGGCAGAGUUGUUCAGGAACACCAGAAGGCCAAGGCAGGAGGUGGCAGGGAGGGCUCACCAGGGCCAGGUAGGCUUUGGUCACCAGGCGCUCCUUGAAGCACUUGUAAGCACUUCCCGCAGCCGCUUUGUUGAGUGCCACACACAGGGCCCCGCUGGUGGAGAAAUCCAGCUGGUGGCAGAACCUGGGAAGGACACGGGGGUAAAGGAGCAUCCUGGGCACCUCAGGAGUGUCCCCAGCUGAGCGCAGAGCCGGGCUCGGCGCGCAGGCGCUCACCUGAAGCCGUAGUAGGUGUCGGGGUCGGCCAGCUCGGGGAAGCGGUGCUUGAGCUGGCUCUGCAGGGUCAGUGUCUCGUACCACAUCUUGCUGUCGAUGCGCAGGUCCCAGUGCUUGUUCACCACGAUGAAGUCGGAGCUCUGGUACAGGAUGGACAGGUUGUCGAUGGUGCCCGGCUCCAUGGCCA
Long non-coding RNA from Haemorhous mexicanus (house finch), 7264 nucleotides. RefSeq lists it as uncharacterized. NCBI's taxonomy places the organism in Eukaryota, Metazoa, Chordata, Aves, Passeriformes, Fringillidae. The transcript is spliced from 4 exons. The record is from RefSeq and is a predicted model, not a curated record.